RNAcentral lists this non-coding RNA (107 nucleotides) under unclassified sequences. RNAcentral's name for it is "Termite-flg RNA". It matches the Rfam family "Termite-flg RNA". The record is from RNAcentral.
GGCCGUUUCGUUCCGUAUGGCGGCCUAUUUUGGGGGAGGAGGCGCGAAACCGCCCCCAGGAGAACCGCUUUCGCGGGAUGGUUACGGCAUGGAUAGCCGUGACAAGU